Molecule: non-coding RNA, 209 nt
Filed under: Sulfitobacter mediterraneus
Lineage: Bacteria; Pseudomonadati; Pseudomonadota; Alphaproteobacteria; Rhodobacterales; Roseobacteraceae
Source: RNAcentral
AUUAUUUGCACCCUGUAAGGUGCUGCUUUUCCCAGCCUUGGGAGAGGCGGAGAAUUGGGAAGCUGGUGCAAAUCCGGCGCUGCCCCCGCAACGGUAACGAAGGGAAGGUCGCAACCAAACGCCACUGAGAGAGGACCUCGGGAAGGCGUUGCGAUCAUGCCGAAAGGCACCUUCCAAGCCCGGAAACCAGCCUUGCAGAACGUCAAUCC